This 292-nucleotide long non-coding RNA is filed under the name Mytilus galloprovincialis (Mediterranean mussel). Lineage: Eukaryota; Metazoa; Mollusca; Bivalvia; Mytilida; Mytilidae. The record is from RNAcentral.
CAAGUUUUUGUGUGCUUUUCUGUCGCGAGGCAAUACCGUUCCAUUAUAAACAGACUGGACGAAUGAUCGAUGAAACCAUCAAAAACCGUUUGACCACAAUGAGCUGCUGCAAUGUCAUCAAUUCGUUCGUGAACAAAGUGAUUCCUUUGAUCUGUUUUCAUAAUAUAAGUGCAUAGUCUUGUUUUCAUCAAUUGUUGGAACGUGUCUUUUAUUUUGCUUAUCAAAGAACGUUUCGUUAGGCUCAGGUUAUGUUCUAAAUAAAAUUCCUCAAGGUAUGUUAGAAAAUUUGACA